GGUGGCUCCAUGGUAGAGUGCUUGCCUUAUAUGCAUGAGGUCCUGGGUUCAAUUCCCCAGCACCA
This 65-nucleotide transfer RNA is filed under the name Dipodomys ordii (Ord's kangaroo rat). It matches the Rfam family "tRNA". Rfam says of the family: Transfer RNA (tRNA) molecules are approximately 80 nucleotides in length. Their secondary structure includes four short double-helical elements and three loops (D, anti-codon, and T loops). Lineage: Eukaryota; Metazoa; Chordata; Mammalia; Rodentia; Heteromyidae. The record is from Rfam by way of RNAcentral.